UUUUCCGUAUUGCAUCUUGUUAGAACAAGACAUUAGCGGAAUGACCAAUUUUGUCUGACCGAUCGCCCACGCAGCAAUGGCGUAAGACGUUGUGAUCUUUCAGACAGUUAGCGGGCUGCGGGUUGCAGUCCUUACCGGUACAGGCUCUAUGGAUUUCAAGUCGCAGGAAGGCGUCAACUCCGGGACUCCCGGGAGCUCAUCUGGAUCGCCAGAUCGAGGUGAGCAGGUUAAGCCACCAUGCCUGCAACGCGAAAGACGA
This 259-nucleotide unclassified non-coding RNA is filed under the name Klebsiella pneumoniae subsp. pneumoniae Ecl8. The record is from RNAcentral. Lineage: Bacteria; Pseudomonadati; Pseudomonadota; Gammaproteobacteria; Enterobacterales; Enterobacteriaceae.